RNAcentral lists this ribosomal RNA (248 nucleotides) under uncultured bacterium. Its description in RNAcentral is "partial 16S ribosomal RNA". It matches the Rfam family "Bacterial small subunit ribosomal RNA", at positions 57 to 305 of the family's 1533-position model. The record is from RNAcentral.
GCAAGUCGAACGAUGAAGGGGAGCUUGCUUCCUGGAUUAGUGGCGAACGGGUGAGUAACACGUGAGUAACCUGCCCUUGACUCUGGGAUAAGCGUUGGAAACGACGUCUAAUACCGGAUAUGACCUGUGACGGCAUCGUCUGCAGGUGGAAAGAAUUUUGGUCAAGGAUGGACUCGCGGCCUAUCAGGUAGUUGGUGAGGUAAUGGCUCACCAAGCCGACGACGGGUAGCCGGCCUGAGAGGGUGACC